Molecule: ribosomal RNA, 406 nt
Filed under: uncultured bacterium
Lineage: Bacteria
Description: partial 16S ribosomal RNA
Rfam family: Bacterial small subunit ribosomal RNA
Source: RNAcentral
AUUGAACGCUGGCGGCAGGCCUAACACAUGCAAGUCGAGCGAGUGGCGGACGGGUGAGUAAUGUCUGGGAAACUGCCUGAUAGAGGGGGAUAACUACUGGAAACGGUAGCUAAUACCGCAUACCAUCGGAUGUACCCAGAUGGGAUUAGCUUGUUGGUGGGGUAAAGGCUCACCAAGGCGACGAUCCCUAGCUGGUCUGAGAGGAUGACCAGCCACACUGGAACUGAGACACGGUCCAGACUCCUACGGGAGGCAGCAGUGGUGAAUAUUGCACAAUGGGCGCAAGCCUGAUGCAGCCAUGCCGCGUGUAUGAAGAAGGCCUUCGGGUUGUAAAGUACUUUCAGCGGGGAGGCGUUACCCGCAGAAGAAGCACCGGCUAACUCCGUGCCAGCAGCCGCGGUAAUAC